AAAAGAAAGAACAUGGAAGUUAUGAUUUCAUUUUCAGACAUUGUCUGAUUGUCUCUCAUGCACAUCUCAUUGCCUUGGUUUGAGUUCCUUGGGGUUUCUUUUGUUUUCUUCUUACAUUGAGAAGAUAAGAAGGAAAAAAUUUGGGGUUCAUCAAAGAAAUGGAAGGGGAAACAUAUUCAGUCUAUGGAAACGGUGUGAAUCAUAAAGUUAGACAAACUUUUCACAAGAAUUUCAUUCAAGUUCAGAGUUUAUUAGAUCAAAAUAGAUUACUUAUCAAUGAGAUUAAUCGAAACCAUGAGUCUAAUAUACCUCAUAAUCUCAAUAGGAAUGUGGGUUUGAUUAGAGAAUUGAAUAAUAAUAUUAGAAGAGUUGUGCUUCUUUAUGCAGAUCUUUCAAGCUCAUUGGUUUCUUAUGAAGGUGGUGGUGGUGAUUUUAGUGGUGGUGGUGGUCGUAGUGGUGGUUUGUUUGAGAGAUUCCUCAAUCAUAAUGGCAAGAAGAGAAAAACUCCAUGAUCCAUCUUUUUCCAUGAGAAGAAGAGUUAGUGAUGAGUUCUUUCUGGUGGUGGAAAUUAUAACUUUGCAGCGUACAUCUUCAUGAGCUACUAGUUUGAUGUUGUUUUACAUAUUGUAAUUCUGUUUCAUCAUAGGAAAUGAACUACCAUGUUUUUUGUUCAUCAAAUCCUUUCUUUUUUCGUGUUUUUAGAUUGUUUCUAGUGAUAUGCACAAUGGGUUCUUCUUCUUUUUUCUGUUUGUAAUGUAAUGUACUUGAAGUCUCAUUGAGAAAUCCUUUCUAGUAACAGUUCUUGAGAGUCUUUUUCUUUCUUA
Long non-coding RNA from Papaver somniferum (opium poppy), 824 nucleotides. RefSeq lists it as uncharacterized. The transcript has 2 exons. The record is from RefSeq and is a predicted model, not a curated record. Lineage: Eukaryota; Viridiplantae; Streptophyta; Magnoliopsida; Ranunculales; Papaveraceae.